AAUACUAGUACCAAGUAGCUAUGCUUAUGUUUUUGCAAGAUUUCCAUCGGUCAUUAACUUGAUUUUCUUAUUUUUCAAUAGAAAUAUCAUACGAUCUCCGUAAAUGAAUAGUAUGGAUUAUAGGAUGAAUUACAAAUGUUUGCCUGGUUGACAAUUAUUGUUUGCAGAGGACAAGGCAAAGGAACCCGAACAAUAUGGAGGUCGGUGUCGUUAUGGCUGCUGUGGUCGUCGGGGCCCCUAUGGUUGUAGUAAGUGCUGCAGAACAGGUAAUAGUUGCACCAUUCAAAGAAACAGGAUUUAAAUGCGUGAACAGUAUUUGUAACUUAAAAAGUUGUGUUGUCCAUGUAGCUAAUGAAGCUGAAGCAACCCAAGUAAACGCUGACAUCAAUGGCAAUGAAGGCGGUGGACAUGGUGGUGGCGGCGGCUAUGGAGGUGGUGGCGGCGGACAUGGUGGUGGCGGCGGCUAUGGAGGUGGUGGUGGUGGCAGCGGAGGUGGUCAUGGUGGGGGAGGUGGUCAUGGUGGUGGAGGUGGAUAUGGUGGGCACUGCAGGUACGGCUGUUGUGGUGGCUAUGGCAAAUAUUGCAGGUGCUGCUACAACCCUGAAGAAGCUCAAGCUUUUGUACAAAAUGAGAACUGAGCCAAGCCAUAAAUCAAGGAAACUUCCAUGUACAAGUUUGCGUGAAUAACUACAUGGUUGAAUGUUGAUCUUAUGACAAAAAUAAAAUACUUAGUACAUGUGCUUCUGUGCUUAGCACAUAUGUAAGGAAUAAAAAGUUUCAGUCAUCAUUUGAUGAUGUGAAUUUCAACAAGUGUCCUUCAAUCCCAUGCCUGGAUUUUUUUUUUUUUUUUUUUUUUUAAAUUUGACAUCUGCUACUUGUCAUGUUUGUCUUUGCUCUUAACAUUUGCACUUGAAUGCUCCAGUCAAAAUUUAAGUAAAUUUGUGAAAUAAAUAAAAAUAGCAACACCAGACCAAUCAUUCAUGAUAGAAGUAGGAAGUAGGAAGCCAGAGAGAUAAUUGGAAAGUACACUCGAUUAAAGAAAAAACAACGAAAGCCACAUAAAAUCAGAAAAAAAAAAUUAAAUCGAGUGUAAUUGGCAGGGUACGUAUUCAUGCCACUGAUGGAGGCAAUGUAGUUGCAGGAAUUGCUGGCUUUGUGGGCUAUGACCAUAUAGAGUUGUAAGUAAUUUCUCACAGUAAAUGUUCUGCUUGUUCGUGGAAACAAGAGAACUAAAGCAUCAUCAGGUUUGACAAAUGCAAGUGCACAUCUUUGGACUUGGGAGUUGGGAGGACUCGGGAGCUAAUACCUACAUAGAAAAUGGGCGAUGGAUGAAGAAAGGUGCUACAGACUUUUUAUGUCCUCCAAUGUGGGUGGCAGAAUACACUUUCCUUGAAGUUGAUCAGCGAGAUUACUUUUGUGAUUGCUGAAAUUCAUGACAAAACGGUUCAACAUCUUCAAUCACAAAUUCGUCGAACUGCAAUUAUAAUCUCAUUGGACCAAACUCGAGUAAGCAAAUCAAAUCAAAUCGCUAAUGUCACUUCUUCCAAGUAGCGCUGACAUUCUAAGAUUGACAAGGAAAUGCAGGCUUUGACUCAUCAUUUACUUAAAGCAGGAUACAACAGCAAAAGAAAUCCAGAAGCAAAGAAUAUGAAACUAACCUGAAAACAAAGAUUUAGUAUUUCACAUUUAGAACAGUUACACGCAAAUCAAAAACAUUUUUGCUGCAUUGGGUCGGUGAACAUCCGUACAAGCAUGUGUUACAACAAGAUGUAUACAGUCUCAGGAGUCAUGCUACUAAAGUUUGAUGCCCGAUGCUCUCAGAAGAUAAAAUGGAACUCAGACACGUCGCUGAAGACUGGAGAGUCACUCAUCACUCAAAUGGUGGUCUUCUUAGACAAAGAAAUACCAUUAUCACAGCUGUUUAAGUAAAAUCCAACAGUCAAAGGCAACCAAAAAUAGUUAAAAUGAGGCAUAAAACAAAUAGAUUUCACAUCAGACUUCAACGACACUACUUGUAAGCUUGCAUUUCUGCAAAAGUGACUUAAGAAAGGGUGCCGGAUGAUAUGUUUGAGAAACCAAAGAUUGCAUUAGUUAAAUCCGCAUUUAAAUGCACAUUAUAUACUUAGCCAGUCGUAUUGACCAUCCCAAUUAGUCACGAGAAUCAUACAACUCAAGGCUGAUUAUCAAAUCAAAAGGAGUGGUUUGAAAACACAAAAUUUGGAAAAGAUGGCCAAUGGAAAUGUGGUUACAAGUACGAUUGAAUAUGAGAAACAUAACAAACUUGAUAGAUCUUCCUGCUGAAGUUAUUUGCUUUUCUUUUAAUUAGUUCAUAAAAUGUUAUUCGACUAUAAUAGUCAGCAGAAAGACAUCCAGAAAUUUUCUCACUCCAUAAUUGAAUUUAAGAAAAGAAAUUUAUACUAUAAGUUAAGUCUAUGCCAAUGAACAAGUUGCACAAAAUUAGUCCUUAAAUAACUGAAACACGGCAAGAUAUAUUUAUGAAAUACACCAUACUUGCAAGUAAGCUUAGUCAAUUUAAACAAGAAGAAGCAUCAGAUAAAUAAGAUCGUUUAAUAGUAAGAGGCAAAGGAAAGAAUAUUACCCAUGAUGCGAGCCUUAAGGGUGAUGAGGUUGCAGUCUCUUCAGAAAAAAGGGUCAUACUAAAGAACCAGAAGAGUUCUUAAGCCUUGUCUUAGCGCUUGAAAAAAACAAUAUCUCUGCCGCAGCUAACUUUGAUAGCUUCCUCCAAACUCUCCAUCUGAUCAAAAUCAACUUUGAAGGUUACCAUGGUAACACCAUCUUUUCCAGUGUCAUAAUCUUGCUUAAUGUCUUCAGCCCGAAAUGAUUGUAGCUGCAAGAUACACAAAUGGUGUAUUUGUGAGACAACUGUUUACGAUGUUGAGAUGCACUAAUCACAACCUCAUCAAACAAGUCAAUGCAUUGAUGACAUUUAGCAAACUGGUAAUAUAUGAAAAACUGACGUAUGCUCCACAUGUCAAAAUGACAAUCAAAACAUGAUUUGUCAUGACAAUAUUUGACAGUUAAUUAGCCAGCAACACAACCAGAAGAGAACUUAUAAAUCCUCUGAAUCUUACCUGAUGGUAGAGAACCCCCAAAAGGUCAUAUGGAAUCUCCAAGCCCAUUGGAACCUACAAAUCAAGAUCCUUGUCACAAUAUUUAAUUCAUGAAGCAGAUUUCAAUGUGCAAAGUACGAAGUGGAAAAGAAACUUAUAGAAUUAGACUACUAUUGAUUCAAUAGGCACAAGUUUUAGAGAAUGUAAAAGCCAGCAAGGAUGAGUUGUUACUUUGGACUUGACAAGACAAGUGGGGGCAUUUCUCAAACAAUCAGCAGCAACCCCUCCAUAAGCCCUGACUAAACCUCCGGUGCCAAGUUUAAUACCUCCGAAGUACCUAAAUUAUGAAAUGCAAAAAGAUGAACAUCUUGAAUAGCUUCUCUCCCUAGAUAGAAAAGCCAAAUAACAGACUAAUGGAUGUCAAAAACUUAAUGCAUGUAUCAAAAAAUGAAAAUUGUUACGUAAAAACAACACUCUCUACAUUUCAUUCACAAAAGAAACAUUUGAAUCAGAGCCAAAGGGAAAAAAGCAAUAGCAUGGCCCCAAAAAAUGUGCAACAUUUGUCUACCUGAUCACGACUACCAUAACUCUAUCAAUCCCAGAAGAUUCAAUUGCAGAAAGUAUUGGCUUGCCUGCUGUACCAGAUGGUUCACCGUCAUCAUUACUCCGAAACUGAUCCCCAACCUAGAAUUCACAAAUAACUGCAUUUGCGUCGAAAACAACCAACAAACAAAAGGGGCAAAGAGAAAUAAAAGCCUCAUAAUUGAUUCAAGUACCCCAAGAAUCACUAAUAACUAUCAUACCGGAAAAGAUCAAAUUUUGUACCUUAUAUGCCCAACAAUUAUGAGUAGCCUUGGGGUCACGAACCUUAUUUCCAAACAAAACAAAAAAUAAGUCUUUAAUGGCAAAAAUAAAAAAAUAAAAAAAACCAAAAGUAAAAUGCAAGAAAGAAGAGAGGAAGGAGUGAUUAUUAAUACCUCAGUGAGGAAGGCCUGAGCAGAGCGUUCAUUAGAGAUGGUGCCAGCAAUGGCGAUAAAUUUACUCUUCUUUAUCUCUGUCUGAAAUGUGACCCUUUCUUUAAUUGUGGUAAAGGCACCACCUUUUUUAUUAUUAUUGGGAUUAGAAUCAGACGCAGUGAUGCUAUUGCUGCUAAUGGUGGCCAUUGGCGUUAGAUAAAUACAGGGUUUUGUCUGAAUUACGGAGAACGAGGGAAGAAAACGGUGACGGUGAUUCUGAAGAUUGUGAUGGAGAAGAAGGGCUUUGUUCAGAUUCUUGAAAGGGAUUGAGAGAAUCCGCAUAGAAGCAGCCGCCUGCAUCAGCAAAAACCUUAAUUUCUUUCCAUCUAAAACGUUGUCGUGAUGGUGGAAUUCGAUUAAGGUUUCGUUCUUUGUUUUUUAUGCUCAAUUUUGAGGACAGAAAAAUAUGCAAGCAACAAAAUAGUCUUUAGGAUUAUAGAGCACGCUUUAAAAUAUGCAAGCAACAAAAUAUUCUUUAGAAACAUCGAGGCGUGGAACUCUUGAGUAUUAUAUGGGACGCUUUAGAUUGAGGGCGCAAAAGGAUGGGGAUAUUUGGGGGAAAAAAAAAAAAGUUACCCCACAUUUGUGAUUUGUUACUCGAAUAGACAAAAUUUGGAAAAUGCACUUCCAUCCAUUAAAAAGUAACUUUAAGAAGUUAGCCUAGAACGACAUAUGCAUAAUUUGGCUUAAAUACCUACAUUUUGAGAAUUUCCUUGAAAAUGUUAUUUGCGCCAUUUCUGUUAAUUACACUCCCACUAUUAUUUUAAUCAUAUAAUUUUUGUUUGUUAGAACAUAUAAUAAAACAAAUUAUGCUAGUGCAAGUAACAAAAAAUGAGUGCAAAUAAUAUUUCUCUUUUCCUUUUGCUCAAGUUAUGCAAGUAGUAUUUCCUCUGUCAACGAGCAAUUCUUAGGUUUUUUAAUGAAGGACAACAAAAGUAUGAAAAUACAUAUUCAAAUGAUGUCCAUGCCAAAAUAAGAAGACCACCAUGCAAAGAAAUAUGUCAUUGUGAAUUUUAAUAUUAAAUUAUCAAGGCUUACUGCAAAAUAAAAUGUAAAAGAUCAAUAUGAUGUUAAGAGAUGUGAUUCGCUAACUAAAGGUUUUUUCAUGAUUAAAUUGGAUUGGCACUCCUCAAAAAUGCCCCUUUUCAAUCCAAAAGUCUCAUACUAAAUAUGAAAAUAAAAAAAAAAAAACAAACUAAGAUGAUGGUCUUUUCAUUCGAACCUUCAUUUUGUACUAAACAUAGAACUAGAAAUAAGUUAUAAAAACAUGAUCUAUUCAAGUUUAUGUGAAAAAAGUAAAUUUUUCACAAAAAAAUUUUGCAUGUGCUGAUGAGCCAAAAUAAGCAAAAUACCACACUUUCCUAGUAAAUCAAGCACAAAUGCAAGGAAUUGUUUUUGCUUUCUAAUACUAUUGAAAACUAUAAUUUUUUAUUCGCUUCGCUGUCUCCAUCCCCAACGUCGCUUUGGCCGAGUGGUUAAGGCGUGUGCCUGCUAAGUACAUGGGGUUUCCCCGCGAGAGUUCGAAUCUCUCAGGCGACGACUCUUUUACCUUUUCGGCUUCCGUUUGCUCUUACAAUCUCACCGACUACUUUCUAGUAGUUCUUCACUUUUGACCGUUAAACACUUGUUCUUUCUCCGGCUUUCAAGUCAAGACAACUUUUCGUCCACAUUAAUCGGAGAACCUGAAAUGGGAACUGGAAGGGGACCUCACCGGAGAAAGUCAAUGACCACCUCUCCCUCUGUGGCUCUGUCCCCCUCCCCCAUAUAUACCUCUUCUGACUUUUGAAUUGUCUCAAGACCGACCCUAACGCGGUGACUCGGCCAUCCCUCCAACCAGUUUGGUGAACUGGGCAAUCCAGCCAACAACAACUCACCAAUCAAUAAGUCCAAUGCAUUAGGUCCACCCUCUUGACACGUAGCAUUUUCUUUUUUUUUUUUUUCAAGAAAAAUGUUUGGGUACAUUCAGCUCCAAUCAAUACUGGUGUAUACCUCCCGAACCAUAGAUCGCUUACAGAAAUUUUUACAGAUCGCCUACCAACACAGUUUUCACAUUGGCGGCGGGAUUCGCAUACAUAAUCUUUUGUAAAAAAGUGAUUCAUUCUUAUUAAUUGGACCAACUUGUGUAAAAAAGUGAUUCAUUCUUAUUAAUUGGACCAACUUGUGUUGACAUAGCCUUUGUUGUUCAUGAAAAAGGUUGCAUUUCCUUUCAAGUCUGGAGUAGUGACUUAUGGGAAUUGGAAAAUAAGGGUGCAUUUAAUAAAAUUGAAAUUUGAGAUUUGAAAUCUAAAAUCUAAAUUUAGCAAAUUACUAAAUUAUUAAGUACCAAAUUUAAUAGUACAUUUGAGUGUAUGUCACAUUAAGUGAUAAGUGAAUAGCUUAUCACUUAUUUUUUUUAUCCAAAUUUUGUCUUAAAAAAUUCAGCGUCAUUUAAUUAGUUCAAAUAUUUUAUUUUUAGUUAUCAAACGUGUCGAAAUAAGUUAAAAUUUGAAUACACUAAAUUUAAGUGAUGAAUUAGGUUAGCAAACACGGUGGAGUCAAGCUUAACAUUUGGCUGCAAUCAAAGGGUUAACGGCCCCGUCAGUCUAUGACCAUAUUUAAUUUCAAUGAUAAUGUGAACGACUAACAUAUUUUAUCAGCCUCAUUUUUUCUCAAACUUUUUGACAGUUGCCAUUAGCCUCAUCUACCUGAUGGAAUUGGUGUCCUUUAACGUGGUCAAGUGACGUUUUCUUCUUCCAUGGGCCAAUUACUUGGGAAUUUUUUUUCUUUAAUUAUAUGAUUAAAAUUAACACACAAUAAUGACAACAAUACUGAGCACACACAGAUUAAAACUGAUCAACAACAUUACAGCUAAUAACAUUAGAAAAUGUGGGAUGGUAACUAAUAAAUUCACAUUCAGUGAGAUUUAAACCCAAGAUUUGUUUAUUUACAUGAUUUAUAAAUCGUCUCUAUUAAAUUAACCUUUUUAAGUUAGCAUGGCAAAUAAUCAUCAAGCGAUCUGUGUAUCUACAUGAGCAGAAAUUUUACAAAACCAUUAUUUGAAUUACUCUAUAUGCAUAUGUUUUGAUGCCCUCAAAUUGUUCAGAAUACUUCAAUAAACAACCUAUUCAGUCGACACAUUUUUCAGUAUUCAGUAUUUCCAAUCCUUGUGAUAAGGUGGUUAACUGAAGGGUAGAUAUUAAAGUUCUCUUGAUUAAUAUUGAUUAAGUGCAUAAGCAUAUUAUUCUUUCAUCAAAUCCAAUAAAAAAAAUUCCUUAAUCACGCGUUAUAGUGACAUUAGGGUACCCCAAAAAAAAAAAAAAUGAAUCGAAUAUUGAAGCUGUUGAUUUGCAGCAUGGACUCGUUGAGGUUAGGUCGGAGGUUUGCUCAAGGGAGGUAAUAUCUUAGGUAGUGGCUGGAGGACCGGGCGCGUCAUCUAGAUGCAGGAGUUGAGGAGAAACUUUAAAUCAGUGAUGGAAAUUUGAUGCCAAAUAAUGGCCUUAAUUAGUUCUCUUCAUGGUGCUCAGUAUAUUUUUCGUCUAUAACGAACAUAUUCAGAUGCAUGAAUUUAAUUAUGAUGCGACUUUGGGCAGUCUUUCAUGGAUUGCCUGCUAUCAUAAGUAGCAAUUAGUUAUUGAACAGGAAUUGGACUUUUAACUUCUACUAGAGAAAUGCUUUUAAGACGUUAUUGUUUUCAGGUUCAGAUAUCUAUUGUAGAGAAGAUUACUUGACGAUCUAGUAAUUAACUGGAAGAUCUUAAGAAAAAAAAAAAAGAUCAGCUAGCUACUAUAAAUGGUGAAAUUUAAAAAGCGCGGAGAAAAAAGAAAAAUUUAAAUUCAAUAUCUCUAAAUCCUGAAAUCUCAACUUUAUUCAGCAUUGAAAAAUAAUUGUUCGAGAAAUUAUUACGUGUAAAACAUACAUUCAACAGUCAGAAACUCGAUCGUGUGUGUUGACUGGUCAAAAAUAUCUUUAGGGCAGGUCAGAAGAACAUGCUGUUGACUCUUGGCUCUUCUAUCUUGAUUGGGCCAAGGUGGGAAUCCGAUAUUAUUCCACUCUCUGUUCUUUUCUUUUGGCAGAGAAUCGUAUGCAUGAUAACAAAGCGGGUAUGCAGGCUUUGGGUCUGGGGAGGAAAGAAAAGAUGAAAAAUAAAAGAAGAAUGCGUCACGCUCUGACUUGGUUCCCAAAGGCAUCCAUUAUUCAGCUGGAACUCUGCUCUGGUCAAAUUUGCGCUGUGUAGACUACGCAGUAUUGUUCCAACCAUUCCAAGUCGUAAUAAAGCAACUUGUUGGACAACAAUUUCUAUUUUGUGGACGUAAUUCAUCAUGUAAUCAUUAGCAACCCUUCCAGAUUAUGGAGAGCUAAACAAAGUUGUGGUUUCAAUUACCUUCUUAUCUUUCUAACUAUUAUUUUUUAUUUCACAUACCUUACAUGCUAAUAUAACAGGUGCUACAAUAUUUUUUUUUAAAAAAAUAUUUCAAAUAAUCUCCGAUCCAAAAUUAUUAAUUUGGAUAGAAGAGGGAUUUAAAGGUAAGAAUGUGCGACACUUUAUUCUUUUUUAUUCUGGGGUUUAGGAGAGAAAUUGAGAAUUAUAUUUACUUUGCUUGGAAGUUAGUGUAUGAAAGAGAAAUGAAGCAUCCAAAUUAUUCUGACUUUCUCUACCUGUUAAGCAAGAGGUUUACUUUUUUUUUUUUUUUGGUCUACUUUUUUCAAGUUGAGAAACUUGUACAUGUCCAUAAUUACUCGAAAACUUGCAAGGAAACUAUCUUAAGGAAAAAGAGCCAAAAUAGGUAAGUUGCCAAAGCAAAUGGUGCAAAUAUUUGCUAAUUACCUUUCUAGCUCUCGUUGUAUCCACAAUUCACGAGUUCCAAUAAUAAUAAAAAAAAAUAAAACAACAAAAAUGAAUACAAAAUUGAAGUUUUCUAAGACAUUCAUUGAUACUCGAUAACACAUCUAAAUUUCAUCUAACAUAUCGCGCGUGUGCAUGUAUAUAUUGAUAAUUAUUGCCUUCCCUUCUCCUAUUUAUAUAUAUUUUUUAAUUAAUUUUAUUUUUUAAAAAAUUUAACACUUGAAUUAUAUUUUAAAAUGUGCCUAUUGGACACCCGUUAGAUAUAUCCUUAAAAAAUUGCAAAAAGCAAAAAGUUACAAAAGUGUUAAAGGCAUUAAAGAAAAAACUUUGUUGGCCACAGCCCGCAACAACACGAAUUCAUGAAUUCUCGUACUGACCCCCUUAUUCUUCUUUAACAGUAACCAAUAACCUUAGAACUCCGCCAGUUGGCCAAUUUGCAAAGCGCAGGAUGUGGUAGCGUUCUAUUAGGUCAUUAGACAAUUAGUCUCUGACCCCAUAACCGCGUAAACAAAUUCAACCUAAAUUCUACUACUACGCAAGAAACUUCCUUCAUUUCCCAUUUUCAUUUUCCUUUCGUUUCCUUUUUCCUAAAAAUAGUUCCAAUUUCCCCCACUAUAUAUAUGUAAACCUUUCUCCUCCCUUCCCCCUCAAACCAUCAAUCACUUCAAUUUUCUUUCCCCUUUUACCAGCACAUGUCUCAGAGACCCAACGUCCCACACUUCUCCUCCGUCGCCUGCGGCCUCCAUUCCCAUCUCCUGGUUUCCAGUGAGAUGUCCUCUAAUUCCAACUGGUCUUCUUCUGCUCGUACCUUGUAGCUAUUCCACCACCUAGUCUUUUUCCUUAAAUACCCCACAAAAUUAAAAAUUAAAAACCACACACACACUAAACCCAAACAAACAAGGAGAAGAAAGGAAUCAAGAAAAACGCUACUCAUUUUUUCUGAGUUCAACAAAAGAAGAAAAUAUGGGUUUGAAAGGCUUUCUUGAAGGAGGCAUAGCUUCAAUAGUGGCUGGAUGCUCCACCCACCCGCUGGACCUCAUCAAGGUCCGAAUGCAACUUCAGGGAGAAUCCCCCGUCCCCAAACCGGCUGCUCAAGCGCUCCGACCAGCUCUAGCCUUCCACCCUGCAGCUGGUCAGGUUUCUCAUCCUCACAUUCACGUCCCUUCUCCAUCUCUUCGUCCGCCGCCGCCCCGCGUGGGACCCAUUGCCGUGGGAGUCAAGAUUGUCCAGCAAGAAGGGGUCGCCGCGUUGUUUUCCGGCGUCUCCGCCACCGUCCUCCGCCAGACUCUUUACUCCACCACCCGCAUGGGACUUUAUGAUGUUCUGAAGCAAAAAUGGACCGACCCACAUACCAACAAGAUGCCUCUGGAUAGAAAAAUCGCUGCUGGGCUCAUCGCCGGCGCGGUUGGAGCGGCCGUCGGGAACCCCGCUGACGUGGCCAUGGUCCGCAUGCAAGCCGAUGGUCGGCUCCCGGUGGAUCUGCGGCGCAAUUACAAGAGCGUGGUUGACGCGAUUGGUCAAAUGGCUAAAACCGAGGGAGUUGGCAGCCUGUGGCGCGGUUCAUCCCUUACGGUGAACCGCGCUAUGGUGGUGACGGCAUCACAGCUGGCAUCAUAUGAUCAGAUCAAGGAAUCGAUAUUGGAAACGGGUCUGAUGAAGGAUGGGCUUGGGACCCACGUGACCGCCAGCUUCGCCGCGGGGUUCGUGGCGGCGGUGGCGUCGAAUCCGGUGGACGUGAUCAAGACUAGGGUGAUGAACAUGAAGGUCGAGCCGGGGAUGGCCCCACCUUACAGUGGAGCCGUGGAUUGUGCUAUGAAAACUAUCAAGGCUGAGGGCCCACUGGCCCUUUACAAGGGGUUUAUUCCCACAAUCUCAAGGCAGGGACCAUUCACAGUGGUGCUCUUUGUCACACUGGAACAAGUCCGGAAAUUGUUCAAGGAAUUUUGAUUUUUGAGGAUGAUGACGAAGAAAUUAGAAUAAAAAGAAAAUUAUGUUUCUUCUUUUAUGUUCCUGAGAUCUGGGAGUUUGAAUAGCAAGAAAUCUGUCAGAUACUGCAUGUCCUUUGAUUUAUAGUAAAUGGUUAAUUUUUUUUAAUUUGAAUUAUAAACUUGAAACCAACGCAAUUAAAGUAUUCUAUUUUUCAUUAUUUUCAAAGGUCGUGGGAGAAUACGUAAAUCAAUGCAAACUUAUUUGUCUCUUGGACGAACAAAUUAACUUUUACUUUUGGCCGAAUAUCGAACAAAGUCGAUGCAAUUUGACAAAAGGUGAAUUUGAGUGGCUGCAAUUAGUACUAAUUGUUUGUUCAUGUGAGCUAGGGGCUCUAGCUUCUACUUACCCUUUUUUUCCUUUUUUCUAAAUGAGCGGUAUUAGUCUCAUGUUCUUGUUUUUGUAGUCCCAUAAUUACAUAUAAUAUCAGCAAAAAGUUAUAUCCCAAGCUUGAUUUUGGUUUCUUUGUUAAGCAAAAUUCAGUUCCAAAUUAGCAAUAGUAUAUAGUUGUGUUUGGACAGACAUUUUUCGUCCAAAAAUUACUACAUUUUCCGUGAACACAUUUUCCUAUCAUCUUUUUACUUCACAUACAUCAAAUCAAAUCGCUACAGUAAUUUUUUUACAAAAAAUCCAGAAAAAUGCAAUCCAAACACAACCUAUUAUAUUGUUGAAUUCAGUUGGACUUUGUACUCAAGUGGAAUAUUCGAAGCUCAUAUGCGCUGCUAAAAAGUGCUGGUAUAUUCUUAUAAGAUAUGUAUAUAUUCUUUAGUUAUGGCUAAAAUUGAGACCUUCAGAAAUUAAAAGUCUUUUUUGUUUUUUGAAUCUCACCUCUUAUGUGCCAAAAAAAAAAAAAGUUCUUUAGCUAGAAGUGAUCGUUGUAAGAUAUGUAUUUUCUCAAGCUAAGAAGUUAUUUAAGGAUCAAUAAUAAUUAUUCUUUUAUGUUUUCAAACAAACUUUAUGAAAAACGAAUGUAUUUAAGUAUAGGUAAAUUCUUUCUCAAUAAGUGAAGAGGAAAAGAACAAAAAAAAAAAAAGGGUUGCAUGAUCUUCACAUGCAAUGAAGGUAUUAUCAAACAGAGACGUUAAAUGUAACUUUUACCUGAGUCUUUGGCGUUUACGUAGGACAACAUGAAAGGUUGUGGACAUGGAUUUUUAUUUAUUUUUUGCAAUUUCUUGUCAAGAUGAGAAUGUGAAUGGCCAAUAGGCCAAACGAUGAAUGUCGAAAUGCUGCCGACCUGUCAAGAUGAGAUAAUCAUAUGAACCAUGGAAUUAUUUCUUUUUGUUGUUUAUGAAAGUGGAGAUGUGGAACCUAGCACCUUCAACGGGCAGCAACUCUUGGAAUUGGCUGUAAUCGUGGCUACGACAAACCAUGUUGGAGGAUCAAUUGGUCCAGCACAAGAAGUAAUUCAAUUCUCACGUUGGGUGGUGUUAAAUUGAAGGUAUUAUUCUUUUCUUAUAUAUAAGAAUUUGGUAAAUAGUAGUUAUGUUAAGUUUUUCCUGGACUUGUCACUCACAAAAAGUAAUACGUACUAAUUUUGAGGGGAAGGAUGGGUCGUAGAAGACGGUGUAAGCGAGAGGAAUCGGAUUUCGAGACUUCCUACUUAAACUUUGAAAAAAAAAAAAAAAAAGUAACACCAAAUAUAUAUCUCAACCAUUCCAUUAAGUGAUAGUGUAUUAACAAUACAUCAUCUAACAAUUGUAUCAGUCAUGCAAAAAUGCAGGCACAUUGGUUUUGCAAAAACCCAAAUGCUAUUCAUUAGACAAAUACGAGGGAUUAAUGUGAUAUCUGGUAAAAUGAGAAAUUAUUUAUUUAGCUUUAAUAGUUGAUUCAAGAGAAAGAAAAAACAUAUAUAGAUGGGAGUGCCACACAACUGUAGGCACAUCGGUGGGAGGAUUCUUUUAUGUUAGUUCUAAUUUCUGGAAAAAAUUUUGUGGAAGAGAGAUGUCUUUAUUCAUGAGAACAGAAAUGGUAUGUGGCAGGAGACAGGAUGCUAGGAGUUUAAUCUUAGAACAGAAUGGAAAAGGAAAACUUGCAUACCAGUUACGUAACGACAGAACAACUAUAUACGGGAUGUAUACGCUUAUUUUGGCCGCAAAGGAAAAGCAAGGACCUGAAUCAUGCAUGCCAUUCAGAAAUUUCCAGGUGAAAUAGACCGGUGGCCAACUUUCCUUCGUUCCCUGUAUUGAAGAACUUCCGUCAGGCUGAAAAUGACUGGCAAGAUAGUAUCAAGUGGAGAAACUCGCUUGAUUUCCAACGUCAAGUGGUUAAAAAUUGGGUUAAUUACAUUGAGGUUGAGUGGCUGCUAUUGGACAUAGUUGUUAAUUGCAAACGAGUAGAAAGUCAUGUAGGCCUACUCCUGUUUAAAUCUUGAUUAGUUAAUCUAAUUAUUUUUGUCUAUGAUCCGAUAUCCUUGGGUCGGUCUUGUAGCAUGUUGUCAACUAUUUCUGAUUUUUGGGUUUGAUUUUCAAUUUUUGAAAAAACCAAUUUUUUUUUUUUUUUUUUUUUACUUACAAAGAAACCCAUAAAGCAUGUAUCUUCUAACUUGUCAUAUUGACUUCUUUUUUUUUUUUUUUUCUCUUUUAAAGCAUCUUGACUUCAAAAAAUCAGUUAAGAACAAGCCACCAAUUAAAAGAAAAAACUCUCUCUCUCUCAUGUGCUUGACUAAAGAUUCCUUGAUUAUGUGCAUUUAGUAUCUCCAAACUGAAACCAUCCAAAUUACGUUGCAGAUAUUAAAAUAAAAUUAACCCUUUUAUCAAAAAAAAAAAAAAAGAAAAUUAUCAUCUCAUUGCUUAUAAAAUGAGUUGGACGAUUUUGCCUCUUCAAAAUUCAAUAGCUAUGGACAAUGAAGUGCCACCAUGACCCAAAUUAUAUUGUGUCUCAAAAAUCAAGCUAAUCACAAAGAAAAUAGAGUGCUCAGCUCAUUAUAUUAGAUUUAAUAGUAGGGUUAAUGCUGAUUAGUGUUCGUAGUUUGGUGGCCAAAGCGUGUUUGCACGUUGAGGGUUUCUUUUUGUCGUAAAUCGCUAGAAGCUGUUGCCUGUGGAUCCUAUUUUUGCCAGGCUCCAGCCCUCGGGAAUCAAACCUUCAUUCCAAUGAAAUUCCGAGGGGUGCCAUAGGAAAUUUCUGAGAUAAUUUUUGGUUAUUUGGGAUAAUUUUUUUGAAUGAUGUGAUAUAUGUGAGAUAAAAAGGUAAUUGAAAAUGUGUUAAUGAUACAAGCAAAUAAAUCUUGACAAAUAAUUGGCUAUCCAAACAUGUUAGGAGAGGGCUGGCCAAAGGUGUUCAAUUAAUUACAUUUUGUAUUAAGGUUUAAGAUAACUUUGUAAUUGGGUACUAUAAGAGCGAAUGAGUAAACAUUCUGUGCAACAAUACAUACAAACUAUUUGUGAAAGUGAAAAUUUUCAAAUGUAUGUGUUAUACCAAAUUAACAUAUGAAUGCACAUGCUGAUAUGCAUUGUGUUGCCUUAUAUUUAAAUAAUUUUCCUAUUUAACUUUAGUUGUUUACAAAACCGAUAUUGAUCUCUCUUAAUUAGUACCCGUUAGACACUUGUCAAACAGACCAUUUAUAUAUUAAAAAAAUUUUUGAGCUUCACAUUUAAUAUAUAGUUUACUAUUUUUGGAAAAAAAUUUUUAUAGUUACUUUCUUUGUCUUAACGACACAUCGAAUCUAACCUAAUCUACUCCUACAGUCCUAUUCCUACUUGGGGGGAGCCUAUUCUAGGAGGUGGUUCAACUGAGUCGAGGGAACCUAAUGAAAACUGAACCACCAUCAGACCAAAUUACACCACGCAUCCGUAUGAAUUUAGAACAAUACUCAUAUAGAGGUGCAUUGAUGGGAGGUAAGGUUCUCCCACCUCACAAUUAAUGUGGUGACUAACUCUUUUAGAGGGGGUUGGUUUUUUAUAAUUGUUCUUUAAUAGGAAUUCUAUGCUGUUCAAAAGUAGUUUGGACAAGUAACAUGAAAUGAGCGUAGUGGCGGACGGAGCGCAGAGGAUUUAUUCUAGGGAAAUGGAACUUUUGUGCAUAAGACAGCCCCAUGAAUUCAUGGAGGAAAUGGCUCCCGGGAGGUGCCUUGAUUCCCAGAGCAAUCAUUCACCUAAGAAUACAUGUCAUGCACGAUAUUAGAUGCAUGUACCUGCCUGGAUCCUGAAAACAACAUCCAAAGAAUUCCUUUGUCUUGUCCCUUUUAUAAUUUCAACCAGUCAAAUGAUUGUCCCAUCAUCUUUUUCUGUCUGGAAAAAAAAUUGUAUGCUGUUAUUGGAUGUUUGGUUUGUACCCAGAAACUAGAAUGAAUACCAAAUUCCACUUAGAAAGGCUGUCAACUAGCUAGGAGCCACCAAGCCACUAGCAGUCUAAUGCCUAAAAUAGGCUACUAUUCAACUGCAACAUUUUAGUUUAACACCAAUGCUUCAACUCAAAAGGGAAUUUUAUAUACGAAAUGAGGAAAUAAAACCAAGGAGAUUUUGAGCAAAAUAAAAAAUUUCAAUUAAUGUAAUACAAUCUUGUGGUUACACUUGACAAAAUUGUAAACCAUGAAAGCACUUCAUGGAGAUCAUCAAAGGUCAAGAGGUGGCCUAAAAGCAGGGGCGGAGGGAAGGGGGGCGGUCCAAUUGUUAAAAAAAAAUUUAUAAGUAAAAAUUUGUUUAUUAUAUUGUUUUGCCCCCCCAAAUAUUGAUAAAAAAUUUCACUUUGCCCCCCCUCCAAUUGUUAUAAAAAAAUUUCUAAGUAAAAAAAAUUUUUCUUAUAUUGUUUUGCCCCCCCAAAAUAUUGAUAAAAAUUUUCACUUUGCCCCCUCCUAAGGACCCAAAUAAUAAUGUUUGAAAGUUAUUUGGACUUUGUCCAAAUAACAGAGACUCGCCCCCCUAAUUGCAAUUCCUAGCUCCGCCACUGCCUAAAAGCAACAGUGAAGUUGCUAUAACAGGCAUUGAUUCUUUUAAACAAAACAUCAUGGUUACUGAUUGUUAAGAGACACAAAACAAAAAAGUGCUAUAAUGCUUUUUUCACAAAAUUAUCUCAAAUAAUUUACAAUCCAAACACUGUAGUUUCAUUAGAGAAAAUAUUUGCUCCAGGUUGAUAAACACCAUUUACUGCAUUCCUUUCUUAGUUGGAAAACAUUAGCGUCUCCAUUUAAUGGAGUAAUUUCAUAAACCUCCCUUGAGAUUUUUGAUAAUUUCACUUAGCACCCUUAAACUUUUAAAAAUAUCAUUUACUUCUCUUAUUUUCAAAUUUUUGUAGCAUUCUCAAACCAAUUCAAAUUAUAUGUUUACAAUACUCAUUUUAGGAAAGAGAAAAUAAUUUGUUUCCAAUAAUGCCCUUUCAUUUUUUAAUUUUUUAAUUGUAAGAAUAAUAAUCAUAUGUUAAAAAUAAGGACAAAAAAUGAAAAUGUUCUUUUUUUAAAGGAACAACAUAUAAUAAUUGCAACCAUAAACAAUAAACUUUUUUAAAAUACAAACAAAUAAUAAAAUUUUGUUUAACAUGUUUUCAAAUUAUAAAGUAAUUUUUUCCCUUUAAUGUUUGUCUAUUUGGUACUCUAAAGUCACAUGGUAAGAAAUAUGAUCCGUUUGGAUGAGCUAUUUCUAGAGAUGUUUUUGAAAUAUUUUACUGUAACAAUGGACCUGUUUGGAAUCGAAUUUUUUGGCCAAGUUUUUUAGUUACUAGUUUUUUAACAACUUUACCUACAGGAAUCCAAAAAAACUUAUUAAAAUUUUUAACCUACAUAUUUCAAAAUAUCUAAUACACAAAAAACUUCAUUUUUUCUUCUUCAUUCUCCCCCGUCCCGAUCAACCACACCUUCAUCGCUGGCCACCACCUCCACCGCUACUUUCGGCGUCGGCCACCUACUCCGACGCCGGCCUUCCCCUUUUUUUUUUUCCUUCCUUUCUCCCUCUCCAUCUCCCUCUCCCCCUCUCCUUCCCUCCCCUCUCUCCUUCCCCUCCCUGGCUACCCUCCCCCUUUCCUAGCUGCUAUCUGGUCAUGCGACCGGAUUGGGCAAAAGGGGAGGGGGAAGGAAAGGAGAGUAGAAAAGGGGAGGAGAUGAGGAGAGGAAGAUGGAGAAGAGGGGAAAAGAAAAGGCAAAAAAAAAAAAAAAAAAAGUGCACGCCAUGGCUACUGGUUCUCUAGCUUCUGGAGGGAGAGGGGGAGGGUGAAGGGGAGUAGAGGGGGAGAGGGGAGCAGAAGGAGAAAAGGGGAAGAGAAAAAGAAAAAAAAAAUUGGGACCAUGGUUGCUGGUUCAUCUAGUACCGCGAGGGAAGAGGGAGAGGGAAGGAAGAAGAAGAAGAAGAAAGGAAAGAACGAGAAAAAGGAAAGAAAAAAAGAGAAAAAGAAUGAAAAGAAAAAAAAAAUGGUAGGACCAUGGCUGCUGGGAAGGUAGAGGUAACGGCGGAGGGAAGGGGGAGGGGGAAGGAAGAAGAAGAAGAGAGGAAAGAAAAGAAAAAGGAAGGAAAGAAAAAGAAAGAGAAAAAGAAAAAGAAAAGGAAAAAAAAGUUUUUCAUCUUAAAAAAUUUUUCCAAAAAUUUCUACAGUGCACUACAGUAAAGUUUAGAAGUUUUAGACAAAUUUUCAAGAACGUCAAGUUCCAAACGGGGCCAAUGUAGUUGAAAAAUAUUUAUUAUAGAUGUUUUUAAUAGUGUUUUUGAAAAUAUAUUUUGAAAUAUUUUUAAAAUUUAAAAUUUUAAUGGAAUAUUUAUAAAAUUUUAUAAUCACCCAUCACUAUCCCACCACCCCUUCUCUUCUCCCUUAUCCUCCUUCUACUUCUUCGUCCUCCCUCCUUCCCCCUCUUCCCCUCCCCUUUUUCAUGUCUUUCUUUCUUCCUCUUUUUUCUCCUCUCUUCUCCUUCCUCUUUCUCCUCUAUCCCUCCCCUCCUCCCUACCCUCUCUCACCACCCCUCUCUCUAGUCGUGAGUUGCAACUAGAAAAUGGACGCUGCUUGCGACCAAAUUCGGUUGCAAUUGGAAGGGGGAAGGGGGCAAUGAGAGAGUCAUGAGGAGGAAGGAGGAGGGAAGAGGAGGAAGAGGGCAGGGGAGGGAAGAGGAAGAAAGGGGAAGGGAAGAGGGAGGAUGAGAAAAAAGGGGAGAGACGAGAGAAGGAGAAGGAACAGCGGGUGGUAGUGUGUUUUUAUUGGUUGUUGUUGUUGUUGAUGGUGGUGGUAUAUAUAUAUUUUUUUGAUAUUUGAAGUUGUUUUUAAUACAUUGUAUGAAUGUGAUAUUUUUGAGGUUAUUUUUAUUUGUGUAUUAUUAUAACAUAGUAUAUGAAAAACUUUUUUUUUUUGAAAAAAUGAGGAAUCCAAAUGGAGUUAUUGUUAUUGUUUUUUUUUGACAAAAAUGUAGAUUUCUUCUACAAAAGUGUUGUAAUUUAGGAGACUAUUUAUAAUUUAAAAACUUCAGUGUUUGUCCAACCUUAUUUAUCCAUAUGUUUAUCACAUGCUCUUAGGUUAUCGAAUGAGAAAAAUCUUUCUUUUUAUGUAAAAUGGUUUGAUUGAAUCUAAUAAAUUUUAUGAACUAUUUAGAAUCUUUAAUUUUUAUUUAUUUGAAUCAAUGGCUUGAAAAUUUAGAAAAGGGAAAAAUUUUUAAAUUACAUUGAGAAUUUAUUUGAGUUGUUUAGAAGACAAAAAAAAAGUUAUUUUUCACAUCUUUACAAUAUUGCAAAUAAUUUUCACAUACUUUGUUAAUUAUUUAUGAUUUUUCAAUUUAAAAUUUUGCCUCCAAAUUGUAGAUAAGAUUUGUUAAAGAUUUCUCAACUCUAAACUUGUAAUUUUUUUUUUAACUAAAAAACACAUCCAUCAAGUUUUUAAAUAUAAAAGGAUUUUAAAUUGAUUUGUCAUUACAGCUAAGGGAUCACAAUAAAAGAGCAACUUUAGAAUAAAAUAACUUUCUCUUUCCUAAACAUAGUAUUUUAAUGAUAUAAUUAGAAUUGGGUUGGGAAUGUGAUAAAAAUUUGAAAAUAAGGGGGAAAAGUGAUAUUUUUAAAACUUUAAGAGUACUCAGUGAAACUAUAAAAAACUUCAAGGGAAAUUUCUGAAAUUAUCCCCCAUCUGAUCCUCCUGUUUGUGGCUCAUAUUUACUUGAAGAAAUUAGAGGUGUCAAAAUGGUUGAUUUGGACGGGUUUGGAUGAGUUGAAAUAGAUAAUGGGUAUAAAUAAGUUAAUUCAUUUAUACCCAUUUAAUUAGAUAGGUAUAAAUGGGUAAUUCAAAAAAUGAAUUGGGUAAUUCAAUUACCAUUUAUAUCCCAUUUAUUUUAACUUUUUAUAAACUCAUUUAAAUUUAUUUUUGCAAACUAAAUUAUCAAUUGAUACCACUCUUUGCAUCCAUCAUUAUCAAUAAGCCUAAUUACUAAAAGAAUAUAAAAAUUUGAACUAAUUACCAUGAAAGUUAAUAUAAAAACUUAAUCUAAAAACUUUGAACCGCUUACAAUUUUUUUGUAUGUAAAUUUAAAAUUUCAUUUUGGAAAGGUAGGAGAGGAGACUAAAACUUAUCAUAAAUUGGUAAUGCUAAAAAAUGAACAAAUUAAUAAACUAUGAAAAGAUAAAAUGAUAAGAUAAAACCAACAAAUCUUAUACAUAUAUAAAAUGGGAAUCGCUUGUGAACAGUGCCUAUGGUCCGGUUAUGCUGUGAUUUUUGUGAGCCUGAGGGGUGUUAUGGACCUUAUGGUCUUUUGGAGUCGAGUGGGAGUGGUUUUGCUGGAAAUUCACCGUCCCCACGUGUUGUUCUCGGACGGCAACAAGUUUAGCGGUGAGUUGAGCUGGAUGCAUCAAGCGCUGCUUCAAAGUAUUGCAAUCUUCAUUACUUUUUCUUAUUGUUUUCUUAGCCGGGAAUCGCUUGUGAACAGUGCCUAUGGUCCGGUUAUGCUGUGAUUUUUGUGAGCCUGAGGGGUGUUAUGGACCUUAUGGUCUUUUGGAGUCGAGUGGGAGUGGUUUUGCUGGAAAUUCACCGUCCCCACGUGUUGUUCUCGGACGGCAACAAGUUUAGCUGCUUCAAAGUAUUGCAAUCUUCAUUACUUUUUCUUAUUGUUUUCUUAGCCGGGAAUCGCUUGUGAACAGUGCCUAUGGUCCGGUUAUGCUGUGAUUUUUGUGAGCCUGAGGGGUGUUAUGGACCUUAUGGUCUUUUGGAGUCGAGUGGGAGUGGUUUUGCUGGAAAUUCACCGUCCCCACGUGUUGUUCUCGGACGGCAACAAGUUUAGCGGUGAGUUGAGCUGGAUGCAUCAAGCGCUGCUUCAAAGUAUUGCAAUCUUCAUUACUUUUUCUUAUUGUUUUCUUAGCCUUGUCUCCGUUACUUUCUCUUAUUCUUUUCUUGACUUUCUCUACCCAGCGUUUUUUCCGUUCCUCAUUCUCCAAUCUUUUUUCUCUAUUCUUUUCUUAGCUUCUCUGCCCAGUGUUUUGCCCUUUCCUCGUUUUCCUAUUGAGUUCUCUACUAGACUGCAAAUAAUUGAGCAAGUGAAUUGCGCAUCAGAGCACGGGUGCUUUGCAGAUGUUUAAUGUUAGUUAUGCUCUAUUUUAUUGGUUUGCAUAGCCAUUCAUGCAGAGCAACAAAUCAAAGUAAGGCUCAUGUAUCCGCGCUCUUGAUGUCUGACCCAGAAGUUUGGCCAUGAAUAUAUAUGUUUGCAUGUAUGGAUGAAUGACGACAAUUAUUCCUGAUAGUUAGUCUUGCUGUAAUUGCUCCUUCUGUUGCUGCCAUUUCUUUGCUUUAAUGCAGCUGCUGCUUGGGUUUGGUAUAGCAAUGGUGGUCAAAAAAUGCAUCAAAUAUUUGCUAAGGCUGAAAAAUAAAACAUUCCAAUACAUACAAGGUUUCAGCAAUAUUAAUGCAUGAAAGUCCCCAACAAUAAGUUCAAUAAUCAAAAGCAAGCUCAAAUUUCUUCUAAAUGGAUGGAAGGCUUGAAAAAGAUAAUUCUAAAUGAAUUAAUUAGAUUUGAUAAUAAAUGGAUAUUAUUACCAUUUAUAUCCAUAUGUCAAAAUUUAAAGAUACCCAUAUACAACUAUUCAUAGGUGGGUGUGGGUAAAUUUAGCUAAAUGCGCUGCAACGAAGCAGCCAUUCCUCAAUUCUUCUAUCGUUAUCGGUGUAUGAGAAAUCGAAGGGGCAUCAUUUGGAGUUUUCCUUCUAUGUCUGUGUAUUUCUUUACAAUUCUAGUAGAAGCAUCCUAGGAUAGCAUCGACCGCACUUCCAUAAUCGAUCCGGGAGGUUCCGCGUCUUUUUGUUGUAGUGCAUUCCCGAGCAAUUGUUGCAUCCGUGAGGCAAAAAUAUCAUCUAAAACCUGCAAAUCCGAAUCUUUGUUGUCAUGGUAGUAUUUAUCAUAUUACUGGAUCUUAUUAGACUCUCAUCUUUACUUCCAUAAAUCAAGGUCAAAUCAGUCGGAAACCAUUCAAUUACUGGAAUAAAAAUUGUGAAAUUCCUCCUCAAAACAACAAAGAAAAUCAUCACAACCACUCUAAUGUGAAACACUGACGAUUUGGCCAGCAAAAGUAUAACUCGAGCCAAGUUACCAAGUCAGCCUGCAUUUUUCACUACCUUGCAAACAUCUAUAACUAUUUCAAGGAUGAAAGACUUGCAUCACAUAGAAGAUUCAAAGGAUGAUCAGAUUAUCCCUCUUUCCUUCUUAACACUCAACUUCGUAUAGGGUGAAUUUCAGUUAAAAACGUCAGGCUUUUAAUCUUUUAAACAUUUGCAAAUAAUGGCUACUGCAUAAAGUGACUAUCUGAAUCCUGGAAGAAUUAGCUCAACUUACAGAUACUGCAACCCGUGAAGCUUUGUACCAUGACCGAUUUUCCUUCCUCUCUGCCAGAAAUCUAAGCACAUCCUGUCACAAAACAUCAAACAACAAGGAAAAAAAAGAAGAAGAAAAUAAAAGAUGCGUAAUGAAAAAAUAAUUAUGAAGCAUUUUGCUGAACAUUCUACCAAGAAACUUACCUGUGCCAUCCUAUCCCAAAUACCUCUUGAUACGAUUAUGAACACCUGAGGGUCCAAUAAAUUGUAAAGUUGAUCAAUCAUUUUUUCAAGCAAAUCCUUCAAGGGCUGCAUCCUACUUCGAACAUCAGAUUCUACAACAUUUUCCUUUGCAUCCUGAAUUAUUUUCUUCAACUUUGUAGACGGUUGCAAUCUUGUCUGAAUCCAGAAAAGCAGUAUAAAAAACGAAAUCAAUACUUGAUAGUGCAUAUCCAAAUGUCAUUAAGAACACCACAAAGUAUAGUUGUAAUGGUGAUCAUAAUGACUUUUUCUGCAACUUGUAACCUUGCAUUAAUAAAUGACCAAGAGAUGAAAAAAAAAAGCAUGCUUUCCAUCCAAAUGCAUCUUGCUGGAUAAUCAGCACAACACAAUGCAGGAAGAAUUUUUUUUUUUUUUUUUUUUAAAGGACCAAAUUCAUAACCUAAAUGUUAGUACACCUACAUUUUCCACAAGCUUUUCUGUAACUCCUUGCAAAUAAGUUCUCAAUUUGGCUCUGAGCAUAACCGUUACUUCACUCAGAUGCUCGCCUGGGAUGGUACUCCCACCAUCAGGGAUGCAAGAACCCCAUACCUUUAUCUGUGCUUCUAUUGGGGGCCGCAAAACAUCAAGAAUCCUUUUCAAGGAAUUAAGAAAAAUUCCCAACUGAAAAAUUAGAGCAAAAAUAUUAAUUUAUGGUCAAAAGAAGGGAGAUACCAAGUUCACAAAAAUCCAAAGAUAGCAAACAAUCUGACCUCUCUGCAAACGGAAUAGGCAGAUACAGUGCCCUUAGCAAAUUUCUGAACAUACUUGAGGCCUAAUUUAAUUGGAAUUGAGUUCUCCUUCAGUGCAUAUAAAACAUCUGCAUAAUGUUUUUCCAUAGUCUCUAUAACUGUCUUUUCCACAUCUGUUAUGGCCUGUAUCCAAACAAGAAUUAGAUGUCAAGCAUUGUGUGUAUUACUCCAUAAAGUUAGAAAAUACACUAGCUACCAUGAUCCGUUGGGUCCUACUGUGUCAUCAAGAAGUACCAUUAUCAUACAAACUAAUCAUUAAAUGUCUAUCCAUUGAUGCAGUAAUACCAAAUGAAGACCUUCUAAUCGAAUCAUAGCAGAAGAUUGGGAUUCUAUACCCCACUUAGCUAAAACCUUUCCCAAAUGCAUACAAGGAAAAUUUCAAACUGGAAAGUAACAUAUAGAAUACUAGCCGGUUUCUGCCAACCCCAAUAAGAGUUAAAAUGAUGAAGGCAAUAGAAAUUAAAAAAUUCAGACUUUACUUACACUUUCCAACUGGAUGGUAUACUCUGGCCAAUGACUUAUAAUAACAUCAUAUUCCUUUAGUGUCUCCUUCAGUUGAUCAUAAAUAUCAUCCACGAAAGGGGUUGUGAGAUCCAGUGCUUGGAAGCUGGACCAUUUUACCUGGAGGCAUGUAAAUUCUACUAAUCAGCAAUAGGGAAAUUACAAACACACCAGCAAAUGCUGACAAAUUCAUCCAAAGCAUCAGUAUUUGGCCAAACAUAAAAUGAAGCAAGAAGAACAGAUAUGUCAAAUCAUAUUAAUUAUGUAUAUAUGUACUACAAACAAACAGUAAAACCUACACAGAUGAGUAACCUGAUGUUUUUUGAAAUAAGAGUUUCUUGUUCCCUAUUUUAAUUCCAUAGGAACAAUUUUACCUUUCUAUAUCAAUAUAAGAUGCCUUAAGAGCCAGUUAUUUUAUCAGCCUCCAGUGCAACCCACUCUUAUCAAGUAAUGCCUAAGAUGCAAGUGCCACAUUAUAAAAGGUUCAAUGGUCCAUAGAUAUAUUAUUGAAACAAAGAAAAAACUUAAGGUAAAGUAUCUCUUUCUAUUGCUUUGCUCAGUGUUUAAGCUGCGGAUGAGCAGACAAAUAAGGUGAAAUCUUGUUGAACCUAAAGCUUGUAUUUAGAAAAGUAAGGAUCAGGCUUCUCAUCUACAAAGGUAAGGGUAGUAAAACUGGGACAGAUCAGAUAUUAGUCUAUAGCAGAAAAGCUACGACCUACGUUGUAUUUUGAAGUCAAAUAAACUUUCUUCCCAUUGGAAUGAUCUCCUCAAGAAAUCAACUGAGGCAACUACCAAAUAAGUUUUCAUGUGCACAUAACCAGUUCAGCCUAAUAGCUCAGAAGAAUUCAGACCAGGUAAUUUUAUGUGCAUAUCCAACACAAGAUGGUGCUGACUUCCACUGAACAAUGCUUGAUGGAAAUUGAAGAAAUAUAACAUAGACCAUGAACUUGACCCAGUGAGUCCAUGUAGACAAAAGAGUACCUUAUCAGGUUUGCAUAGUUCCAGCAAGGUAAGACGCUUUUCCUGGAUCCAGAAGGUUAUAUAUGAGUGGAACAAUUGUUUUGCAUCAACUCCACCUUUAACAGCUCUGCAAAAGGUCAUGAUAUGAUUAAGGCAUGCUAGAAAAGACUAAAGUGUAAACUAAGCACAUAUCAGACUUACUUAAUAUUCCAGGAGGCAAGAUCCCUUUGAAAAUCAGCUGUUGCAACAACGAGUUCUGUCACAGGUGGCAAUGGACUAGGAGGAGGACAAGCAACAAGAAAUGUCUGCAAUCUACUGUUGAGUUCGGUGCUAUAUAUGGAUGAGGAUAGAUUUGGAAGGUCUAUGAAACUAUGCAAAGACAGAUAAGAGAAAAACCAGAGUUAGAGACUUCUAUGAACAAAAAUCCUAUCCUUGGAAGAGAUCAUGCUCGAAUAAAUAACAGAGAAGCCAUUGCAUGAAAUGAAUGCAAAUAAGACUUGCAUAAACCAGAUUAUAGGAACUACAAACAUCUCUAAUUAUCUAAUAUGGCACAAUCAAGCUAUCUACACUUCAGCAAAAAUGGGUCUUUUUUUUUUCAUUUUCUUCCUUUCCUUUUUACCUGGGGAGUACAUGCUGAUCGUGAAUUUCUAUGUCUGUGAAGAUUUCUCGUCUGAUGUUCAAACAAAGAGAUUUUAUUUUCUGAUAUGCUGCAGAAAUAGUUACUGGGUCCAUUAGUACGUUCCCAUUAUUGUUAGAAACAAUCUCAUCUGUUUCUGACAGAUGCCUCUUGGAUCUCUUCUUCACUGCAGUCUACCAAAAAGAAAUGGUUAAUGAAAUGGAGUGCAGCAGGGAAAGAAAGUAUGUAUGCAUUCAAUACCUGAAAAUAUCUGCAAAGCUUCAACUGUGCCUCAGAAGAGAGAAUAUCAUGCAAAAGUUUGUACAGCUUUAGGGCUGGUAUCAGAGCAGAAGCAGCAAAUCCAGUAGCUGGUGUAAACACAUCAGCGACCCCUGAUGGAGAUGACUCAUCAAGUGACUUGUAAUUCUCAAAAACCACCGCAAUGGUCUGCUCAAUUUGAUCAGAAACAUCUCCCAGCAUACGAUUCUGGUGGGGAACGCAUAAGAAAGAACAGUAUGUUAGUUGAAAAUUUGGUAUAAAAACUUCAAAGAAUCAUAACAGAAGAAAGCACUAAAUGCAUAUGAAGCUAAUGGAAGAUGCUAGAUGAAAAGGCGCAAGAUGUGUACAACACGACCUCAGCAUAACUGAAAAAGUCAAAAAAAGUCCAUGAAACAUGGUAUCAUUGAAUAUAACUGCUGAAGGACAAGUGCAGAUAAAUCAAAUAAGAUUCUCCAUGUUAAAGGUGGGAUACUUUUACUGUCUCAUUUUUAUGCAUAAGAUACUGUGCAAAAUUGAGCAGGACAAUAAAUGUUCACGUUUUUUAAAGUUAAAUCCCUCCUACCUCUUGGUGACUCAAUGCCUCUUUACUUUUGCCUUUCAUCACAACAGGAAAGAGCAGAUCAUGCACCAAAUCUAGACAAUCUGCAGUUGGUGUAGCAACAUCCAUAACAUAGGAAAGAUAUCUGCAAAGUAAUCAAACAUUAUAGACCUACACAGUAAUUUCACACCACACCUUGAAACAAUUUAUCUGUAAAUAGGCAUUUAAACGAAUUUGAAUACCUCAGCUUAGUGUAUGCAUCUGAAACUCCAUAGUAUGAAGCAAAUUGAGUCACUAGCCACUUCCAUGAACCAUGCAGCAAAAGCUUUCUCUGUUGAAACUGUUGAGCUUUCAUUGCGGUCUCCAAAACGAAGUCAUAUGCAACAGUCUCAGCAACAGAACCAUACUGAAAUAAAGAACAAAAUAAGGAUACACCUUACCAUGAAACUACCUCAUUUUAACAUUUAAAUGGAUAAAUGUUACAUAGAAAUGAAAAGUAGAACUAAAGUCAUUCAAUAAACCAAUGAAGUCUGAAUUCACAAUGCAUAGCAGAGUUCAUAUGAUAGUCAAAAUAAUAUAAAAUCCCUUUUUUUCCUUUGUUCACCAUUAUUGUAUUGCACAUCUACUGAACCACAAAGAAAAUUCCUUAAGCUUACAUGAUAGCUGAAAAUACCAUCAGAUGAUCUUUAGAAAGAAAGCGAGACAUUAAAUAUGUAGCUAAAACUACUGAUCCCUUUUCUGAUUCUACAUCAAAGAACAAUUAAUGUGGGGAAAAAAUGAAGAAAAUGGAGAAGAAAGAACCGAUAACAAUUCAAAUCAUAAAACAUUAAAAGAUUCAAAUAGGAUCACUUAAACAUCUAUUGAAAGCUAGUGAACAGCAAAAAAAACCAGUUAUGGCAAACUGGCUGCUCUCACAUUUGAACAUAGAACCUUAAGAUUGUAAUUUCUAACACUAUGACAAUGCACGCCUGCAACUUAGAGUUAAGUUGUGGACAUGAAAAAUUAAAAGACAUGUCACAACUAAACAACAGAGUUCAACCAUUUCAGUCAAAAUUAAAAUAAAAAAAAUCAUUUGCCGGACUAAGACUGCACCAGAAUGUUGGUGUAUCAACAGUGAGAUAACAAAAAUUUAGAAAAGAUCUAUUGCAAGGAUCUUACUGACCUUAAGAUGACUAUUCUCUUCUUGACUUGAAUAAUUGAUAUACAAUUGUAUUCUCCCCACAAGUUCAUGCUCUGGCUCUUGAUAUAUAGACCACCAGCGAAGCUUGUCAGCCUGCAUCCAACCAAUACUUCAUGUAUCUAGCAAAGAAAUCUGUAUCUAGAAUUUGAGAAACAAAUAGUAAUCUGAAUAUCCUACCGGAUUAUCAGCAAUUUCAGCCACCUGAGCCAUUGCCCUCCCACAAUACUUCCCCUUUGAAUCAUGGACUUCAAUAAUUAGAUCAUCUCCUAACCCAUCCGGCAAGCUAUACUCCAGAAGCAAAAGAAUCAGUUUAUUCUUCUAUUCGAUAGGAGACUGAGAAAAGAAGAACACAAAAACUUACAACACAUGAGUCUCUCCAGAUGCAGGCUGCAUUUUAACUGUGUCCUCUUCAGAUGAAUUUUUCAAUCUCAAUGAACAAGAAUAUGUUUCUGUAGAUGGAUAAUGAAUCAUUUCAGUAAUAUGUCUGAACAGAAUGUUUCAAUGUAUCUACUGCGGUCUGAGGAUGCAAUCACUGAAAAAAAGUUUACCUUAGCAAGCAAACUAAAAUAUGAUACACUUAUAAACACUGAAACUAAAAUAUCCAAAAGGGUAUUGUACCAUGUUUGCUAGAGUUCAACUUUUCUGGCUUAAUUUUCACUAUCUAAUGGAAAAACUAAAUGUAGUGAGAACAUAGCAACAUUAAGAUCUCUCAAAGAUUUUAGUGAUGGGUAAUGUGGUUGCUUUUCAGUUAUAAGUGGUUUUUCAAGUUUCGGAGCUCCACUUUUUAGCUAUCACUAAAAGUAUUUACAGCCGAGAAUUUCACAACCAUCAAAGUUGCUAUUUCAGUUUAGACCAAACAUCUUCAGAAGAACUUCCAAGAGAAUUUCCUACUAACUUAUUCCUUGAAUAGGAUCACAGUCUAAAACAGAACACACUGAGCUAUUAGCAUUUUAAGACCUUGAGGUGCUAGAAGCUUCCUAUGGGUGUCUUAGCUAUGCCUAGCCAAGCACCCAUGGUAAGUUGUAUCCUCUUGCACAAAGGUUACAAAACAACCUGAUUAAUAAUGUGGUUAGUGACAAAAGACAAAAUAAGUACAAGGACCAGAAAGAAGUUGCAGUGUGCUAAAAAUGAGUUUCAGGUACUGGAUUCAAUUUGGUAAAUGUGGUGUCAUGUUUCUUUUACGAUUCCUAGCAAAUAAUUAACAAUAAAAGGUUCAACAACCUUUAACAUUCUUAUAUGUGUCCAUUCAAGUAUCUUGAUGAACAGUACAAGUGACAUGUAGUAUGGAUGACACUAUAAUGAGGAACUGAUUUUGGUAAAUUAAGGGAAAGAAUAUGCAAAAUUAAGAAGGUAAAACAAAUGUACAACUUUUGAUUUUAACCUUUUUUUAAAACGCUGUGAGGGCAUACAUACCUUGCACCAUUUCAUAGGAUGUCGAAUGGUUGCGCAAAGCAGUAAUGCCAAUUUUUACCAAUUCAGGCAAUUCUUUUACAUACUGAGUUCCAGCAUUAACAUAAGCCAAGCUCUGGCGUGAAAGAGAUCCAUUUGAUGGCAUACGUGGGCUCACACGUACUUUUUUGUAAGUUUCCCACUCAGACGAGAGAGCUGAUUUUAUGCUGGACAACCGUACUCGAAAAGGCUCCAGCUUCUUUAGGGGUGGUUUCAAAGAUGAAAGGCUACAGCCUGUUGGUGGCUCCAGAACCAUUUUUACUUUACGAACUGUGAUUGGAAAAAUCUAGGUAGAUUUAAUAUUCAAACAUAUUUCCAAGAUAGAGAACCUACUGUGGACAAGGAUCAAGAAGAAUACCUUGCACUUUCAUCUUGCCAAUAAUUUUCUUAGGUUUUACACAAGCUCCCUCGCUGAUGAGUUCUGCUGACCUUUUCCUCAAGAGUUCUUCUUCCGAUUGUAACAGCACAUGCUUCAAUCUACAACAAAACAGUGGUCAUGUCAUACGUGGUUUUUUGCAUAAUAAACAAAAAUCAUUAGUCAACAGGUCACUGCAUUGGGCAUACUGACAACAAAAGGAAAGUAAUCACAUUAUUACACUAAUUUUGAUUGGAUUGUGUGUUAAUGCUUCUGCAAAACCACCAGGACACAAUUCAGUUCACUAAAACAGCCAUGAACUUCUCUUGCUUGCUGAUCUAAUUAAAAACUGGUUUCUGAUCAUUACCACACCACGGUAGUGGAGACUAAAUAUGUAGUUGCCCACAAAAUAUACACUCUUUUAGCAUCAAUUAAAUUACCCCUCAUACAUUUGUUUUUCGUGAACAACGAAUUAGAAAAAAAUUACACACGUCCACAUAAAGUCCUCAAUUUUGGAUGUAAAAUGUAUCAGAAUGCAUGGAACUAACACAACAGAGAUACAACUACAUGCAUAAAGGGAAAGGAGUUUUACAAUAUCUUACCCAAAAGCAUCUCUCAGAACUGCACACUCAUUCUCUAGGAAGAUGGGAGCUUCCAUGCAUUCGCUGGCCCAAGCGUGAAGGCAUAGCCGAAUACAUGCAUCAUAAGAAAUGAAAGCAUUCCAAGAGCCUAGACCACUGUAUUGUUUCAGAUAACAGACAGAAAAGGUUCAAUGGUGUUACAAUUUUUAUUGUCACCACAAGAGUUAUAAACAUAGAUGUAUCAGGGAAAAUAAAUGUAAAAACUUGCAGAUUUCAGCUACCUUGCAUGGAAAGUAGGGAUUUUUGCAGGUAAGGAAUGCAAAGACACACCAGCAGCCCUGUCAUCAAUUAGAUAUAUAACCAUCACACUUGAAAUUCUCCCAUGAAUUUACAUAGAGAUAAUUUAAAACACAUGCAGUUGCACAAACAGCUCACCAAAAACAAAACUUGCCAAAAUAAUAUACCUAAGAGAUGCAUCACAAGCUGUCUUGGCAGUAGAGUUUAAUGGGGUUCCAUUGCCAGUAUUUGGCAUAUCUGCGGUUGCAGAACCAUCCAAUUUUGUAGGGUGAGGGAAAAAAUCUGCUCUAGGUUGCCCCGAAACUUGGUUUGUUUCUGAGACAGAACCAGCCAGUGGUGGUGCACUUGGAACAUCAUCAGGUAACUUAUAAUUCUGGACUCCUGCACCUUGAAGAACCUGUAAGAGAAAAAUAGUAGCAUAUAAAAUUUGAUUCAAGAAAGGAAAAUAACAAUCGCAGCACAUAGCAGCACUACAAGCAGUUUUGUGCACUACUACCACUUGAUAGACAUCAAUUAUUGCAGGUGCCUCUUGAGCAUGGAGGAGGAAAAGGCAACGUAGGUAGGUGACUGCGCUAGGACUUAAUUUAGCAGCCAUCCAACGGCUUUAAUGUAGCAUACAGAGGUAAGUUCAGACGAAAAACCUGUCUUGGUGUCUUAGCAUUUGGUUGUAGAUUUCCAUUGAAGUAGUAAACCUCUGAAGUUCCAUUCCUGAGGUCUGGCACACUAGCAUCGAUACUUCUGAUACCUUGUGCUCCUAAACUUCGAAAAUUACUCUGAUGUUUGCCUGCAAAAUGUACAAUAUUCAGAAUGAAAGCACCAACAGUUACAUUAUCUUCUCCGUAAAAAGAAUUCACUGCUUUUGAAAACAACACACCGUUCACAAAUUUAUCAUCUUGGGGCGAUGUUUCAACCGAAUAACGUCCACCGUAAGCCUCACUAUCCGAGUCAGAGCUGGUAUCCAUGUCCGACUCUGAACCGAUUCCAGCGCCAUUUUUGACAGGCAUGCCUCUGGACACCGGGAUAAUCCCAGAUGGCAGGUGUCCACUUUGAAAUCUAGUUGCAGAAGGCAAUCCAAAGCCUCGACCUCCCCGGCUUUGGUUCCUCAAACCGACAACAUGAUCAGCCUGAGUCGGCAUUGAUGAAAUCAACUUUUCCGCUUCCUUGCAGUAUAAUAUCCUAAUCCAUCAAAAAAAAAAAUCAGAACAUCAGUUGCCUAAAACCAAGAAGAAAAACGAAGGGAAAAAAAAAAAGAACCUUACUUGAAUUCAAUGGUGUGAGAGAUUAAUAUAGCAGAAGGCCCACUAUUAAUACACAAUGCAGCAGGAAGAUAGCAAAUGAAACACCCUUUUCCUUAUUGGGAUUAAUUUGGAAAUCAAAUUAGAAGGAUUCCACUUUUAUUUUCUUUCAAUAUUUUCCUAAAUUGUCUUUUUUAAAGAAUCUGAGAAAGAUUGUAAUCAGCUUCCAUUUUUUUUCCCAUCCCAAUUCAAUGCAACCAGAAAGAUACGAUUUUGAUCCAAUAAUUCGUUAAAGAGAACAAAAAAAGAUCACUCUCCAUAUACAUUGAACCCACAAAUGAAACAAGGAAAAAGAAAAGGAAUUCUUGGCAACUUUUGCUAUGCAACAGUAGUGACACACGCUACCAAAUGUAAAAAUGCACUUACCAGUGUGUGAGAAGAAGCUGUAGAGGCUGCACUUUUUCUGCAGUCUUCUCAAUGGGUUUUCACAGUUACUUGGCUUAAACUAGCCUUGGUUUCCUUAAUCUGGAUUAUAGUCCCAAACAUGCUAGUUAACAAAUGUGGCUUAGCAUUUUGGGGAAAUUAAUAUAGUAUGGAGUUCUUGAAUUCGGGUUUGGAGGUUUUUUUUUUUUUUUUUUAAGGUUUAAUGAGCAAAGGAUGGAUUAGCACUAAAAAGGAGACGUUAAAAAUCAAAAGUUCGCAUGGCAGAAAUUAACGGAGACGUGGGGGGAAAUUAACGCGAGGGGAUGACGUGGCACCCGCAUGUUCUGUCUUUUGAUAACGGCCGGUCGUUAGUGGCGCGUCUUUGGGGCGUUUCUUUUUGGAUUACCAGUUGGUGCACACUCAUUUUGUUGCCUCCUUUCUGCCUUUGCUUCAUUGCUUGUAGGCACUCUCUCUCUCUCUCUCUCUCUCUCUAGACACGUUUGUAUGUGAGAGAGAAAAUUGUUUGUGUGCCAUCUUGGAAAUCUAACCUAAGUGGGAGCCUGCUGUGUCCUUUGUUAAUUGCACUGCUUAAUCACUAAGAAAGUGAUGUGUAAGGUGCAAAAAAGGGGCAAAAAAUAUGUUAAUCUUGAAAUGGAAAGAUUUGGUAUUGUACUAUAAUAUAUAUUCACUUCCAUCCUUGAUUUGGUUAAACAAGAUUUUGGUGUGAAAAAGCCUUUCUCAAAUAAUAUUGAUAUCAGAGUCACAUAUCAUUCAUCCGAUCGUGAUAAUGUAUAUACUGACAAUAAUAUAUAUAAAAUUUACUCGUACUUUGGGUUUGUUUGGGUUGCUUCAUAUUUUCCCAAUUUUAUUUGCUUACAUCAUCUUUACAAUUUCCAAUACACCUUUUUAUCUUCCCAAUAUCUUUUUAUCUCGCAUACAUCACAUCACAAAAAGUGCUACAGUAAAAAUAUCUCAAAUAAUCCCAAAUAACUUACAAUCCAAACAGACCCUUAAUUGCUUCAUUUUGAUUUUGUAUUUUACUUCCGUAUAUAAACAAUUUAUAGCUUGAGGGCUAAGUUAAUGAUCAAAGCAGAUUCUUUGAAUUUCUUCUCACUUGACAAUCUAAUCUUCUAAACAAUACCGAGUAAAAGUUUUGAUAUCUUGGAUGAAAUUGCCUUUUUAAAGUAAACAAUUGAAGAAGUGCAUGAACUUCUAUUAAAUGUAAGCCUUCCUUAAAAAUUUUCAUAAUUACUUAGUAGUGUUUUCGGUCAAAUGACGAUGUCAAAAUCUAAUCGGCUAUGCUUUUGGCCCAGUAACUGGUCUCCUAGGCGCUAGUUAACACUUUUUGACUGUGAUGGUUCCCAAAAGUGCACCAUACCAUAUGACCUUGACAACGUUGAAAAAGGGUUUAUUUUCUUGGUUUUGGGGGUCUAAAGUAGAAGCCCUAGAAUUCUAAAGCGUUAGCUGUUAAGUAGUAGACUAGUAGUUGUUUACAACUAGCAUCUCUUUCCACUGGCUGACAAAAUUGUCCACCGCCAUCUUCCAAAUGAACAUGUUGAAGGGUACUCGAAGCAAAGCAAAAGCAACAAAACAGAGGAGCAUGUGAAAAUAAUUCAAGAACCAUAUCAUUAUUAUUAGUAUAAUAAAUAACAGUAAUCUAUCACCAUCCAAGCAGGCAAAUGAUUAACACAAUUGGCAAAUGUGGGCCACUUGAACAAGAAGACAAGAGCCCCACGUGAAUGGACUGGUGGUUGGCGUCUCUUCCUCGGGACCGUUAGAUCCUGGGGUCGAAUCUCCGCAACAACAUCGGCUUCUCCGUGCUGUUAUCAUGCUAGGUCUAAGUUGGGGCGUUGGACCGGGGCCGAAGUGGGAUUAGUCGGACCGCCUUUAUGGACUUGACCCGGACACCCACUCCGUCGACAAAAAAAAAAAAAAAAAAAA
Molecule: long non-coding RNA, 32943 nt
Filed under: Coffea arabica (coffee)
Lineage: Eukaryota; Viridiplantae; Streptophyta; Magnoliopsida; Gentianales; Rubiaceae
Description: long non-coding RNA (CARA_LNC004944)
Rfam family: tRNA (bases 5545-5626)
Source: RNAcentral